Molecule: non-coding RNA, 113 nt
Organism: Acanthosepion pharaonis
Lineage: Eukaryota; Metazoa; Mollusca; Cephalopoda; Sepiida; Sepiidae
Source: the annotation of a GenBank genome assembly
AUGACUAUAUCACAUUUAAAUACUGGUUCCUGUAUGAUCACUGAAGUUAAGCAAUGUUGAGCCUGGUCAGAUCCUAGAUAAGUGACCACUUGGGAAUACCAGGUGCUGUAAGC